This 329-nucleotide unclassified non-coding RNA is filed under the name soil metagenome. Its description in RNAcentral is "partial contains 5.8S ribosomal RNA, internal transcribed spacer 2, and large subunit ribosomal RNA". The stretch from base 1 to 120 matches the Rfam family "5.8S ribosomal RNA", at positions 35 to 154 of the family's 154-position model. The record is from RNAcentral.
GAUGAAGAACGUAGUGAAAUGCGAUAAGUAAUGUGAAUUGCAGAAUUCAGUGAAUCAUCGAAUCUUUGAACGCAUCUUGCGCCCCUUGGUAUUCCGAGGGGCAUGCCUGUUCGAGCGUCAUUAUAACCCCUCAAGCUCAGCUUGGUGUUGGGGCCUGCUGCACUGGCAGCCCUUAAAAUCAGUGGCGGCGCCAUCUGGCUCUAAGCGUAGUAAUUCUUCUCGCUAUGGAGUCCUGGUGGAUGCUUGCCAUCAACCCCCAAUUUUUCUAUGGUUGACCUCGGAUCAGGUAGGGAUACCCGCUGAACUUAAGCAUAUCAAUAAGCGGAGGA